AGAAAGGGCGUAUGGCGGAUGCCUAGGCUCACGGAGGCGAUGAAGGACGUGAUAAGCUGCGAUAAGCUUCGGGUAGGUGCAAAUAACCCUUGAUCCGGAGAUUUCCGAAUGGGACAACCUAGCCGUCUGAAGGACGGUUACUCUUACCAAGUAAGAGAGCUAACGCAGGGAACUGAAACAUCUUAGUACCUGCAGGAAGAGAAAAUAAAUGAAUGAUUCCCCCAGUAGUGGCGAGCGAACGGGGAACAGCCCAAACCGUUGACGUCGCAAGGCGCCAGCGGGGUUGUAGGACCGCGACAUUGUAUGCAAAUCGUGAACAGAACACUUUGGAAAAUGUGACCAUAGACGGUGAUAGUCCAGUAUGUGAAGCGAAAUGCAGCAUAGCGGUAUCCUGAGUAACGCGGGACACGAGGAAUCCUGCGCGAAUCUGCCGGGACCAUCCGGUAAGGCUAAAUACUCCCGUGAGACCGAUAGCGAACGAGUACUGUGAAGGAAAGGUGAAAAGAACCCCGAGCAGGGGAGUGAAAUAGUUCCUGAAACCAUACGCCUACAAGCGGUCGGAGCAUCUUACGAUGUGACGGCGUGCCUUUUGCAUAAUGAUCCUACGAGUUACCGUCACUGGCGAGGUUGAGUGUCACGAGACACGUAGCCGCAGUGAAAGCGAGCCUGAACAGGGCGCACAGUCAGUGGGGGUAGACGCGAAACCAAGUGAUCUACACUUGGCCAGGAUGAAGUCCCGGUAACACGGGAUGGAGGUCCGCACCAAUAAGCGUUGAAAAGCUUCUGGAUGAGCCGAGUGUAGGAGUGAAAGGCCAAUCAAACUUGGAGAUAGCUCGUACUCCCCGAAAGGCAUUUAGGUGCCGCGUCGGAUGGUCACCGUGAGAGGUAGAGCGACCGAUAGGACAAGAGGGCUUCACCGCCUAUCGAGUCCUGACGAACUCCGAAUGCUCACGGUCUGCAGUCCGGCAGUAAGGGGGCGGGUGCUAAGGUCCGUCCCCGAGAGGAGAAGAAUCCAGACCGCCGUCUAAGGUCCCGGAGUUCUGCCUGAGUUAGUCUAACGAAGUCUGGUCCCUAUGACAGCUAGGAUGUUGGCUUGGAAGCAGCCAUUCAUUCAAAGAGUGCGUAACAGCUCACUAGUCGAGGGUCCGGGCAUGGAUAAUAAUCGGGUAUAAGGCAGACACCGAAGGCGCGGGAUAGCAUUUAAGAAAGUAUCGGUAGGGGAGCAUACUCACAGCGUUGAAUGGUGUACGUAAGUUAUCCUGGAGCGGUGAGUAAAGCAAAUGUAGGAAUAAGUAACGAUAAGGAGGGUUAGAUUCCCUCCCGCUGUAAGACCAAGGUUUCCCGGGCAAUGCCAAUCAGCCCGGGGUCAGUCGGGUCCUAAGUCUAAGCCGAACGGCGAUGGCGAUGGCAGAGACGGUUAAUAUUCCGUCACUGCCGCAUGGGGCGACGUGGAGACGGAGCAGUGAAACCACCGCGGGGCGACGGAAGUCCCCGUUGAAGAGUGUAGGUGUUGAGGAUGGCAGGCAAAUCCACCGUCCGAGCUGAACUUGAUAGUAUGGAGUCUUCUUCGGAAGAAUCCAAUAGUGUGGGUAAUCAUACUCCCGAGAAAAUCCGCUAAGCUUAACCCAUGCGGCACCCGUACCGCAAACGGACACACGUGGUCGGGUAGAACAUACUAAGGCGUUGAGAGAUUCAUGGUUAAGGAACUAGGCAAAUUGACCCUGUAACUUCGGGAUAAAGGGUCCUCGUGAUGAGCGAGGCGCAGAGAAUAGGUCCAGGCAACUGUUUAACAAAAACACAGGGCUGUGCAAACUCGAAAGAUGACGUAUACAGCCUGACACCUGCCCGGUGCCGGAAGGUUAAGAGGAGAUGUCACUCGCAAGAGGAAGCAUUGAAUUGAAGCCCCGGUAAACGGCGGCCGUAACAAUAACGGUCCUAAGGUAG
RNAcentral lists this ribosomal RNA (1944 nucleotides) under Bicosoecida sp. CB-2014. Its description in RNAcentral is "partial Bacterial large subunit ribosomal RNA". It matches the Rfam family "Bacterial large subunit ribosomal RNA", at positions 1 to 1959 of the family's 2925-position model. Lineage: Eukaryota; Bigyra; Bicosoecida. The record is from RNAcentral.